CUCGCGCUCUUAUUUCUCUCCCUGCGGCGGGGCAGACCCUGACCGACUCCCUCUGCCUGGCGUGCCCGGCUUCCUUGGCGGGGUUUGAGGUGGUGGUUCCGCUGGUGGCAAGCCGCCGCCGUAGGAGGGGAAACCCAGGGCUAACCCCCGCCCCCCACCCCACCCCACCCAGCCGGUAGCCCACCAGGCUUCCAAACCGCGCUUAGGUUUGGAAUCCGCCUUUGCUUUCCAACAGUUACCCAGACUUUCCGAUUACACGCCAGCUCGACUUGGCUUGCGAAGGGAAGAGAAAAUAAUAAUAAAAAAUUAGGUAUCACGAAGGAAAUCUUUUGUGUAUUUCUCGAGAAUGUGCCCAUUACGUUUCAGGAAAUGGACCCGGAAGACUGAAUGUCCUCUUCCAACUCCAAGGAGGGCAAUUGGUAGAGUAUACUUUUCCAUGCAUACCCAGUUAAGGUAAAAUCGGUUAUUACAGAUCGUUUAUAAAAGACAGAUAAAAGAGUUGGACCAAAAUGCACAUGGUGCGACAUAGCAGAACCAAGCAAGGAAGACAUUCCAAAGCUAAUAAUAAUAAGAAUGAUUAUUAUUAUCAUGCAGUAGUGAGGUGUGCAAAUUAAAUGGCUCUGAAAAACAGUUGGCAGUAAAAGAGAAGACAAAAGGGAAGAUAGGGAACAAAAAUCUAUAAAGAACUAUAACCAUCAAGGGUCAAAGGCUAGUGAAUAAAGUAGGUUAAAAGAAUAAAGGACCAUACCCAGACAAUAUGAAGAAACGUAAAAUAACCAAUCAUAUGUUUGCAACUCUGUAUACAGUAGUUCAGGAUUGAAAAUAUUUUAUGUGGGAGCAAUCUUCAAUGGUAAAUCCCAUUAUUUCUUUCCAAUGUGGGGAGUUUUCUGUAUUCUUCUCACCCUGUAUCCAGGCUUAGUUAAGUUGGUCUUGGGAUGUUUACCCCACUGCAUCAUUCAUUGUGUAGCCAAUUGCUGUUAUCACUGGCACUGUGAAUUUUCCUCAGGUAAUUUUUUGUGUUAUCUCUGGUAUAAAUUAAAGGUACACAUGCUGGCUUUUUUCAUUUAGUUCAACUCAGAGCCCUAUUAUUGAAUGUUAUUUUAUGCAUACGACUCUCUUCUCCAUUUAAAUAAACGGUGGGCCUUUAAGGGUGUAUUACCACCCAGCCCCACUCUUGCUUCAAAUCCUGCCUUGAAAUGUGUUUAUGGGAGUGUCUAUUGCUAGACAGUAGGGCACACUCUUUAAGAGAGUCUAAACCCUGAGAAGGAGGAGGGGGAGUAGUAGUAUUGGUAUGCUAGAUCUACUUUGAUGCAAUGAAGAAAAGUAAUAAGUCAACUCCCUCUUUCUAUUUUUCCUACAACAACCUUGUAAGAUGAGUUAGGCUGAAAGAAAGUGACUGGCCCAAGAUCACCCACCUGGCUUUCAUGGCAAUGAUGGAACUAGAACUCACAGUCACCUGGUUUCUAGCCUAGGGCCAUAAUCACUAAACCAAACUGUGCAACUUGCUGCUGUCCAGGAAGAUACGGUAAUCACCUGACCAGGGAAGAGACCCAGGUUCUAGGGUUUCUGCCUUCAGAGCACCUUCAGCGUUUGCCUCCCUUUUUAUUACGAUGAAAAAAGGUUAUCAAGUUUUGGAGUGGUGGGCAGAAGAGAAGAGGAGAAAAGAGAAACGACUCAUGCAGAGAAAAUGAAAUGUAUUUAAAGGAUUAGAACAUACUGUAAGAGGUUUGUUAGCUCAGCUGAAUUUAAGGAGAGAGAAAGGAGGUGGCAGGCUGAAGCAGCACUCUGAGGCCGUAGCCUGGCAGACACACCUGGGAAGUGCAACUUUUUCUUCAGUGUUUGCAACCCUUCCAUAACACUUGACAGACAGAAGGCAAGGACCACUGUACAUUAAUAAUGUGAUCUGAGGAAGCAGAUAUAUAUAUCCUCUUCAGGCAUUUGUGAAAAGAAUGCAUAUAGGAAGUAUCAUGCACAAUUUCCCUCUGAUGACCCAUGGAAUGCAAUUUUAUUUGACAAGCACUGCUGAAACUUAAGGUUGGCCAAGCAUUGUUGGAAUUCACCAUGAAACUUGAAACUCACCCUUUCUGAUACCACAGAAGGGUGUAAUUACCUUCACCUGAAUUCACAAACUGCCACUCCUCUCUGGAAGAGUCCUCUUCCAAAGAACAGCAGGAAUUGCUGGUCCCUCCCUACACAGGAAGACCCUAGGGGCUUACACCUCCUUAAAGAUGAACUAUGCAGUCAGGUGGAAGACGCAUCAGAUGAGGAUGAGUUUGCAAAGGUAUCCUGGGUCCUAAAGAGAGAUGGUUCUUCAAAGGUACAGGGUUAGUCCCUACUUGGUGCAUAGGCUGUAGAAAGUGAGGAAGGUGGCCUUGACAGAGACAUGCAGGAGCAUAGGCAAAAAGGGCUGAAGCAACGUUUAAAUCUAGAAACACAAGAUUACAUUCACAAGUGGUUUAGGCCGUUGCCUUUCUAAUCUGCUGAAGUGUGAGGAAGAGUAGGUACAGCACAAUCAGACUUGCAAGAUUCUGUUAGUGUAAUCAGUCUUUUUUUUUAUUUAAAGUAGUUUUAACUUUCCUGUGAAAGUUGACUUCCUGAUCUGAUCUAAUUAAUAGAGCUGAUACAGUGGUGGGUUUCAAUUUUUUUUACUACCGGUUCUUUGGGCGUGGCAGGGGAAGGAUACUGCAAAAUCUCCAUUCCCUCCCCAAUCCAUGGAAAGGUUAUUGCAAAAUCUCCAUUUCCUCCCAAUCAGCUGGGAUUUGGGAGGCAGAGAAUAGAUGGGGGCGGAGCCAGCCAGAGGUGGUAUUUACCAGUUCUCUGAACUACUCAAAAUUUCCGCUACCGGUUCUCCAGAACUGGUCAGAACCUGCUGAAAUCCACCGCUGGGCUGAUAUACACUGUACAAAGGUGCUUUGUAGUUUUGUAAUGACAAUCUUGUCAGUCGGGGUCAUGUUUCAUAACCCAAUCAAGAAGCACGGCACUUGGAAUGCCUAAAACACUGGUUGCGUUGUCCAAAAUUUGCCUUACUUGAGAUGCCAAAAUAAGCUGUUGGGUUGCUCCCUCCUGUCUGGACUUAACAAAUUGGACUUUGAGGUUUUCCUAUUUCUGUGAGGCUGUUGGACUUAUCAUGACUUCCCUUUUCAGAUUGCUCCUAUAAAUGGUUUAUUGCUGGCUCAGGCAGUAAACCUGACAAUUAAACCCUCACCAUAGUUCUUUCCUGUCUAGUUGGGGAGAUUGCAGUGGAAAAAACAGGAGCCAUACAGCAUCUCCAUUACUCAUCCUUUAUGAGCAGAAUUAAGAACAUAUGGAGACAAGCCCAUUUCUAAAUAAUUUAAGGAAGCGUCUUACACUAUUAUGAUUAUUUAAUUCAGUAUUGCCAACACUGAUUGGAAGCAGCUCUCUUAACAUUUCAAGGAGGAGCUUUUCCAAAUCUGUUGGGAGAUACAAAGCCUUAGAGUUGGGUUGAAAAGAUACCUUUUCAAUGGAAAACACAAGCUGAGUCUCCAGGGUAUGGGACAAUUUGCCCCAGCCAACUUUUGCGGCCAAUUUGCCUUGGCCAACUCACCACAGCCAACUUGCAGUGGGCAAACUCGCCAUGGCCAACUCACUGCAAGACACAACUCACUGCAGGACAAUUUAAUAAUUCUAUUUAAUUAUUUAAAAUAAAUAAAAAUUAUUUUAAUUUUAGCCAUUCAUAUUUCAUUCUGUCCCUCCUUUUGCAUCCUUUCUUUAAUGAUUCCAUUCCACCAUAUCUUUGAUAUUAGCGUAACUCUUGUCCUGCAAUGAGUUGGCCAUGGCGAGUUGGCUGUGGCAGGUUGAUCAUAGUGAUCUGGCUGUGGCGAAUUGUCAUGUGAAAAUAUUUGUGAAAAUAUUUACAGACCCCUCGCAUCCUGGACAUAAACUGUUUCAACUCCUACCCUCAAAACGACGCUAUAGAGCACUGCACACCAGAACAAUUAGACACAAGAACAGUUUUUUCCUCCUUCACUCUUCUAAACAACUAAUUCACACAACACUGUCAAACUAGUUACUAAAUCUUCAUCUUCUCAUCGUUCCUAUCACCCAUCUCCUCCACUUAUGACUAUGACUGUAACCUUCUUGCUGGUAUCCUUAAGAUUUAUAUUGACUGUUUCCCUAUGACUAUUAUUAAGUGUUGUACCUUAUGAUUCUUGACCAACGUAUCUUUUCUUUUAUGUACACUGAGAGCAUAUGCACCAAGACAAAUUCCUUGUGUGUCCAAUCACACUUGGCCAAUAAAGAAUUCUAUUCUGUUUUAUUAUCAUAGACCCAUGUCACCAAGCUUAUAUCUUUCCUUUGAUCCCUUAAAAGUAGACCAAAGUAGGGAACCAUAAUUAUGAAUGUAAAUGUUACUUUUAUUAUAAGGUUACAUUAACAGAAUCUCACAACUCUGAAUGUGUCGUUCUUCCACUCCCCCCACCCCAAUUACUUGAGAACUAGGGAGAGUUUUUCCUGACAUGCUUUCUCAGGUUACACUCCUAGUCUUAACAGGUUCCACAGCCUGAAAAAAAUUUUAAAUCCCCACUGUGGGGCAUAUUCAUUAGGAAGUACCCUGCCAAGGCAAUUAGAUUGAUCCCCAGUUAAGAGUGGGUGGGAUUGAAUAGCAAGUGUUGAUUGGAGACUUCCCUUUCCAAGAUUCUCUGGAAAGCCAGUUUAAAUUCUAGGCUUUGGGGUGGUGGGGGAACUUUUUACAUGCUAAACUGCAGGUUUUAUUUUUUCAAUUUUUAUUGUACCUUUCUAUCAUGGUUUUGCUUUGUUAUGUUUUACCGCAGGAAUGUACAUUUCUGAUAAAGCCCCAGGUUAUAAUUUUACAAUGUAAACUAGCAAACCAAUAAUACCUAAUAGAUUUCAGCGGGUGAGAUUAAUGUUUGCAUAAUUUUCCCUUUACAAUCAGUAAUAUGGAGAACUUUGCCUGGAAUAUUAUAAUAUUAACACAAUACUAAUGUAAUACAUGCUGUAGAAACAACAGGCAACAGAGAGAACAAUAGUUGGGAUGAAAUGUUCUGAAUUCUGACCUAAAAAUUCCGGUGAUGUUCUAAAACUUACCCCCUGCUCUCUAGUCCUGUUAGAUAAUUGGAAUCAUUGUGAAUAUUUACCAUAGGGUCGUGAUGCAGAAACAAGUAAUGCUUCAUCAAUUGGAACAUGUUUUCAAUUUUUUUAAAAAAAUGUAUACACCAAGUUUAAGGUGGCUUGCAACAAUUAAAACUAUAUAAAACAGAACAACUAACUGAAUGCAAUUAAAUUCACUAAUUAGUCAAAUAAUUUAAAAGAUGUAACAACGAAUCAUUGCUAAAAAACAAUGAAGAACCUUGAUCCUAGACUAAAGCUCUAAACUGAAAUGGCUGUUAGAUAUUGGGCCAACAGCGCUGCAUAAUCACCUAAGAAACUACUGUAACAUACGAAGCGUGUCCUUGGUUUGUGACAACACAUCUAUGGAGUCCUACCGAGCCAAUUUACCACACUCAGAAGCAAAUACUGUGCUGAUGUCAGUGGAGAUCGUGAAUGACAGCUUUAUGGCAUUAGAAUGAAAGAUGUGGGGAUAAUACAUGUCUGUCGAGAACUGCUUAUAAAAAGAAAUGAAACAAAAACAAUCUGAUGCGGAGGCGAGAUUAUUUGAGUUCAGUCUGGUUAGGCUUUAUCUGAAUUUGGUUUACCUUGGAAAUAUUGAGAAGCAUAUUAUACGCACUGAAUAAAACACAGUUCUGCAGCUACCUAUGGCACCUCGCUGAGUUCUGAGUUAUAUGAAAGGAAAUAGAGGAUAUAUAUAUAAUUUUGUCACAACAGUAUACACAAGCAUCAACAUAAAUCAACAAAAUAUCAUAUAAGCAUAUAUAUGAGCAAAAUUAUGUAAUAAUUGUAUUAAUUUGAUAUAAUGAAAGGCAACAUUAGGAUAGGAACGGUAGGCACUUUUGUGCUCUUAUGCACGCCCCUUAUAGUCCUCUUAGGAAUGGCGUGAGGUCAAUGGUAGACAGUUUUUGGUUAAAGCUUUUGGGAGUUUGAGAAGAGACCACAGAGUCAGGCAGUGUGUUCCAAGCGUUAACAAAAAUCAUAUUUUCUGCAAUCAAGAUUGAAGCGGUUAACAUUAAGUUUGAAUCUAUUGUUUGCUCUUGUAUUAUUGCAAUUGAAGCUGAAGUAUUACACCUGAAUGUAUUACAUAUAUUACACCUGAAGAAAGUCUUACUUUCUCAGUUUCAAUGUGGUUGCUGUGAGAGUCUGGCUGGGCUUCCCUUCUUUAUUUGUAUCGGAAGCAUGUUUAAAUUAUAGACCUAUAUCAUUCAAUACUGAGCAAAUAAAGUAGGAUCAUUUGGAUGGGCUGAUGCAGAUCAGACUAAAUGAUAAUUUACACUGCUUGAAAACUGUUAGGCAAGAUCAUCUUGGACUCUGAUCAGUGGUGGAUUUCAGAUUAUGUUACUACUGGUUUGUCCCGCUUGUGUGCGCCCCGUUUGUGGAUACCCUUGCCUUCCACGCAUGCACCUGGGCUUCCGCACAUGCACUUUUCUCACGUGCGUGCCUUCCCCAUAUGCGCCUGGCCUUAAAAACCUGCCUAAAUAGGAUGGCAUAUAGCCGGAGUGGGUGGACGGCCCCACUUGCGAUUUCCACUACCGGUUCUGGAGAACUGGUCCGAACCAGCUGAAUACCACCUCCGGUUCUGAUAUAUCCUUCCACCUAUAGAGUUCCAAGUUCUCGCCACACCAAAUGUCAUUUUUGCUUGCCAAAUCCCCAGAUGUUAAUUGAGGUGGACUGAGUGCCCUACCUCUGCCCAAUUUCUUGAGCUCGCAGGGAAAUGAAAGCUCAAAGUUAUGGCUGCUCAACUGGGGAAAAACAACAGUCAGGACCCAGAAGAGUUGCAAAAGUUCUCACCCUUGGGAAAACCGCCUACAAUAUAUCCAACCUUCACAGAGCUCCAGCCUUGCUCCUGUUGAAACACUCAGCGCAUUUCCUGUUGAGCUGUAGCUUCACUGGAAAUACCUCAGCAUGGGACCACAUGAGCAGAGAGCAAACGCAACAUGUUUGAAGUGUCUUCAGCAGGCGCAAACUGCAGUUUGCUGGGCAACUGAGCAGGUUGUCCUGAGGGUUAUUUUGCCAUCAUCCUCACCUCCCAAGGAAGACCUGAUUUGAUUUUGUCAGUGCACAUCUUGGGCUCUAUUAAUGAGAUCUACGUUGAUUAUCUUUGCAAUGGUCUAAUGCAGGCUGAAACAUUUCUGAGAGCGGCUUUCAAGUGCUCUCAAUCAAGCUCAGAUAUGACAACUAGAUGGCCGUUGAUUAAUAGCAGUUGUGCUUCUGGAAACUGACACCAUGAGGCCUUUUUCCUCAGGGUCUUGUCAGAAAAUAGAAUUAAGUACUUAGUUGGAGCCCAGUGGCAAUAUGAAUUUGGAAUUUCCAGAGCUUUUGUCUUUUAUUGUCUUUUAUAUAUUAUAAAUACAUGUAGCCCUCAAUUUAUAACAGUUUGUUCAAAGUUGGCACUUUGUAUUAAUAAAAUGUUAUUUAUGAUAGUAGUUGAAUUCAAAUUUUUUUACUAUGGUAAAAAAACUACGGUUCUGUGGGCGUGGCUUGGUGGGCGUCGUGUGGCUUGGUGGGCGUGGCAGGGGCAGGAUACUGCAAAAUCUCCAUUCCCACACCACUCCAGGGGAAGAGUACUGCAAAAUCUCCCUUCCCACCCACUCCAGGGGAAGAAUACUGCAAAAUCUCCAUUCCCAUCCCACUCCAGGGGAAGGAUAGUGCAAAAUCUCUAUUCCCUCCCCAUUCCUGGGGGAAGGAUAUUGCAAAAUCUCCAUUCCCACCCCACUCUGGGGCCAGCCAGAGGUGGUAUUUGCCGGUUCUCCAUUUCCGCUACCAGUUCUCCAGAACCUGUCAGAACCUCCUAAAUAGCACCACUGAUUUAUGACCAUUUUUCACAGUUAUGACCUUUGCUGCAUCCCCAUGAUCAUGCGAUCAAAAUUCAGAUGCUUGGCAACCAGUUCAUACUUACGACCAUUGCUGUGUCCCAUGGUCAUGUGAUCUCCUUUUGCAACCUUCUGACAAGCGAAGUCAAUGAGGAAGCCAGGUUCACUUAACACUCAGGUUACUCACAUAUCAACUGCAUUGAUUCGCUUAACAACUAUGGCAAGAAAAGUUGUAAAACGAGACAAAACUCAUUUAACAAAUGUCUCACUUAAGAAUAGAAAUUUUGGCCUCCAUUGUGAUUGUAAGUCGAGGAUUAUCUGUAUAUACUAAACCAUAUAUUUUAACCAUAUUCCCCU
Ahaetulla prasina is the source of this 8258-nucleotide long non-coding RNA. RefSeq lists it as uncharacterized. Lineage: Eukaryota; Metazoa; Chordata; Lepidosauria; Squamata; Colubridae. The transcript has 6 exons. The record is from RefSeq and is a predicted model, not a curated record.